UUGGGCGCGGGUGGGAAGUUAGGUUUUUGGAAGGAUGGCGGAAGAGGUCGAGUGGCCGCCAUGUGGCGGCAGUGGUGUGCUAGUAGAGCGCCGAGCUGCUCGGUGCUCUGUCUGCGUGGCGGCUUUGGUUGGUCACCGGUGUACGGCUAUAGUUUUAAAUGUCCGAAAAUGCCCAUUUCUGUACGACGUCGUCGAGCAAAAUAUUUGCUUUUUAUUCAAUUUUUUAACUUGUUUUAGAUCUAUCUAAUUUUCUUUAUUUUGUUGUUGUUGGAUUUAGACUUAAUUACAAAAUCUUGAUUGGAAAAGAAAAUAACUCAUACAUUGAUUGAGAAGAAGUUGAUGGUGGAAGGGGAUUCUAAACUUGUCAUUCACGUGAUGCAAGAUGUUUGGAUGCCUUCUUGGAAUCUUAGACCUAUCAUAGAAGAUAUCAAAUGGUUGUCUUCUGAAUUUCAGCAUAUCAGUUGGAAGUAUAUUUAUAAGAAUGCUAAUUUUAUAGUAGACGCAUUAACUCAUGUGAGCCUCGCUAUUGCCAACCCACAUUUUUGGGAUUUUUAUCUUCCAACUUUGGCUAUAGAGGUUUUUAAUUUUGAUUGUAUAGGAAACAGUUAUAUUAGAGGUUUUAAGUUUUAAUAAAUUUAUUCUUUGUCAAUAAAAAAUUACAUUGAUUGAAAAACUGCUUUUAUUGGCCUAACCAUUGAAUUAAGUUUACCCAAUUAAAUACAUUAAUAUAUAUUAUUCAAAUUUUACGGGUAAUUUUCUUUAAGUUUGGUGAUAAAAUUCAUGGGGAAAGUUGAAUUUUAGACUUGAGCUUCAAUUGAUGAUGAGUUCGAGAACAACCACUUAAUCAAAAUUGAACCAAAUCAAUUAUUUUGUUCAAUUCAAUUUUCAAUUUGAAAUGUUACCUUAAUUUUCUAAAGUUAGAAUUUAGAAGCUCAAGAACAAGAGUAACUGCAGUUACGGACUAUAACUACGAGCAAAUCUCAAACUAAAGCGAUUUUAUUUAAUGUCUCGACAAGAGAACUAAAUUUAAAUUUUAUAAAUAACGAGCUUAAUAUUAAUUUAUUUCUUUCUCUUUUUUAUACAUUUGUUGUCUAAAUUUUUUUUUUAAAUUUGUAUAAAAUUACGCAACGUGCAAAUUAUAAUAAAAAACUAAACCGGCUUUGGCUUUAACCCCACUCUCCACAUAUAACAAACCAAGAGCCAGAAACAUGACUUACAGUCCGAAGCGUGCCAUGGCGGAGCUCAGGCACUCCAUCUCGGUGGGGGCUCGAGCCACUUCUUCUCCAAUGAAGCGCGACGAGGACUCCUCCCCUCUGAUAUUCGACACUCAGCCCCAAGACGACGACGACGGCCGCGGUCGCCCUCCCUACAAAGAUCGCGACCGUCCCUUCCUCUCCCAUUUCCAAUCCAUCUGCCCCUCAAUUGCCGACGACUCCAACAGCUCCAGGAUCUCACUCUUCGUCGUCAUCGUCGUCGCAGUCUUCUGCCUGGUCUCGAUUCUGGCGAUCGUGAAACGAGUGGUAUGGCUUUUUGGUGCUUUUUCUGUUCGGAUUUCUGGUGUUUGGCAAUUGGGAUAAGAUAGUCUUGCUUAGAGCUGUGCAAAUCGAUGUUUUUCAAUUGGUUUGUUUGGCUUUGUGUUGCAGAAUACUCCUUACUUGUGUAAAAAAGAUGGCAUUACUCUUCACUGUCCUCAUGUAAGUUGGGGAAAGCUGUUUGCUUGGUCAAUGUUAGAAUUUCGGUGAUGUAAUUGUGAGAUUUUUUAAUGUAAAUUUACUUUUCUAGGUCAAGGAAUCGCCUUCGCUUUGGGAGAAUCCGUAUUCAGCAACCACGUCUUGGAAGUCCUGUGCCGAGCGCCGCCUUGGUGGCAUUUCAGGUGAGCUGAGCUCUUGUUUUUGUUGUUGACGUGUUGCACUAGAUCUAUGAUCUUCUUUAUUACUAUGUCUAGUUCCACCUUUCUAAAUUAUAAUCUUUCCGGCAUUGUGCAGAUCUUCCACCUGAAAACGAAACAACUGGGUACAUAUUUAUUCAUGCUGAGGGUGGCCUAAAUCAGCAAAGAAUUGCAGUAUGUUCUACUCGGUCUUAUUGUUUAUCUGUUCAAGAAAUCUUUAUUUCCUCUAAUUUGUGCACAUUGUAAGAAUGAAGUGAAAGAGUAACUUAGAGAAGAUGUAAGACAAAAAUUUCACUUUUUCAAGAAGGUUCUAGAAUUGCACCGAGAAGAGCUCCUACAGAUUGGUUGCAAUGUUAAAUGGUGGCUGUCACAGUUAAUCUGUUACAACGACCAUAAUAUGUUUUUGUGCUUGGUGUCCAGCUGGGGAUGGCUGUCUGAAGGCAACAGCUUGUCUGCCGGUGCGGCACUGCGGUUGAUUUGUUUGUUUGUUAGCUUGUCUCUCUUUCAAUGGCUUUAAGCUCAUUACUUUUUCUCUGCUGUUGUCUUCGUCAUAAGAGCUUGACUGAUCUUUUAUAUGACCUUGUAGCUUGGCUGAAUUUCUCUGUUCAAAUAUAAAAUUGUUCACUUAGCUACUUUUUCAACCCCUUAUUUUCCAUUGCUUUUCCAUGGUUUACAGAAAGCAAUUUUCCAUUGGAUUAUAAUGGUUGCGCUAGUCUGCUUGCUUAUUUGCAUAUUAGUUUGAGAUAUGGUUCUGUAAGUUUAGCCGGAUGAUUCUGCCUUAUUGUUGUAUGUGAACUGUCAUGUGUAUGUUUUCCAUGCAGAUAUGCAAUGCAGUAGCUGUAGCCAAAAUAAUGAAUGCCACCCUUAUUUUGCCUGUGCUGAAGCAGGACCAGAUUUGGAAAGACCAAACGUGAGAUUUUGCCUCUAUUUUUAUAAGUACUGUCAUAUUAGUGUAAAGUCAUAAAAACAGUAUAUAACUAUAUACACAAUUAAAUAACAGGAAAAUACCAUUUUGAUGUUAAUGGUCUCUGUUACAGAUCUUGAAAAACUAAUCUUUUUGCUUUCAUGCUUUUAAAGAUCUUUUGAAAGUAUCCCUAUUUGAAAUUGCUUCAUAAGAUCUUGUUUUGGGAUCUCUUAUGCUUGCAAUUCUUGAUUUGAGUAUUACAACUUCUGCAGGAAAUUUGAAGAUAUCUUUGAUGUUGACCAUUUCAUUGAUUACCUGAAGGAUGAUGUACGAAUUGUUCGUGAUAUUCCUGAGUGGUUUACUGACAAAGCUGAGCUAUUUACAAGUAUAAGGUUAAGCUCUCUCUCUCUCUCUCCCCCCAAUUUGUAUAGAUUUUUCUCUGCAACUCGCACUGAUAUGUAAAUUUUUUUCUUUAGACGAACAGUAAAGAACAUUCCAAAAUAUGCACCUGCUCAAUUUUACAUAGACAAUGUUCUGCCGCGAAUCAAGGAGAAGAAGAUAAUGGCCCUAAAACCUUUUGUCGAUCGACUCGGGUAAGUUGGGAAUUCUUAUACAGGUGCUGUCCAAAGCUCACAAGUCACACUCUUGUAGAAAGAAAAGGACUGAAAGUUUCUUUUAUCUUUAAAAAAUGUAAGUGUUUAUAUCUGUUAGAAAUCAAGAAUGUAUAACAAGUUAAUAAUAUCAUACCUCUCUGGUUUCAGGUACGACAAUGUCCCUCAAGAAAUCAACAGGCUAAGGUGCAGGGUGAAUUAUCAUGCUCUUAAAUUUCUACCUGAGAUAGAGGAGAUGGCUGAUUUAUUGGCGUCAAGGAUGAGAAAUCGCACUGGAGGUUCCAAUCCUUAUAUGUAUGUAACAUUGUACUUAAAUCCAUUCAAAUUUCUGGUAAUUGUACCUUAACUUCACUAACAAUUCUACACUUGCAGGGCUCUUCAUCUUAGGUUUGAGAAAGGGAUGGUAGGCCUAUCUUUCUGUGAUUUUGUGGGCACAAGGGAAGAGAAAGCUCUAAUGGCAGAAUACAGACAUAAAGAAUGGCCAAGACGGUACAAGGUAAAUAACAUACCUAGGUCAACUUUAUGGAGUCAGAACUUUGAAAGAAUAUCAGUCUUAUUGUGUUUCUUUUUCUUUUGAUGGUGAUUUUGGUAUGCAGAAUGGUACCCAUCUAUGGCAACUAGCCCUGCAGAAGCGAAAGGAAGGGCGAUGCCCCCUUGAGCCUGGGGAAGUGGCUGUCAUUCUUCGAGCAAUGGGCUAUCCUAAGGAAACUCAAAUUUAUGUUGCUUCAGGACAGGUUUAUGGUGGCCACAACAGGAUGGCGCCGUUGAGGAACAUGUUCCCAAAUCUGGUAUGAACUUCUAAUUUAUUCUACCAUAGCACUACUGACUGAACUUGUCUGGUGAAGACAGCCCAUUAGUUUUGAAGUGUUAGUAAGUCAGAUCUAAAAGAUUAUACCCCUUCCGUUAUUAAGAAUAUCUUACUUGGAUGACUAGUUGAAUUCAGAAAAUGGGGUUCGGUAUAAUUCUAGCUGGGGUUACUUCGUAUAAAUAUGUAAUCUUUUAAAAGCGGAAACUUAGGGGACAUGCGGAAACUUCUUCACUUGAAAUCCUUCUUUUCCCCCCUCUUGAUUGAUAUGCUCAUUUUACUAUUCAUAAAAGGUAACGAAAGAGGAGUUGGCGGCUAAGCAGGAGUUGGAUAAAUUCAGGAAGCAUGUGACUAGCUUGGCAGCGCUUGACUUCCUGGUAUGCUUGAAGUCUGAUGUAUUCGUGAUGACCCACGGAGGCAACUUUGCUAAGCUGAUCAUAGGGGCACGCCGGUACAUGGGUCAUCGUCAAAAAUCAAUAAAACCAGACAAGGGGCUGAUGUCUAAAUCUUUUGGGGACCCUUACAUGGGAUGGGCCACCUUUGCAGACGAUGUAGUGACUACCCACGAAACACGAACUGGAUUACCAGAAGCGACCUUCCCUAACUAUGACUUGUGGGAGAACCCUCUAACUCCUUGCAUGUGUAAAGCUUGAACAAAAUAUAAGGUUGGCAAACCGAAUACACUUGAUUAUUCCAAGAGCCCGGAGAUUGUAUACCUGUGAAAUGAAAUCGCGAACUUCUCCCCGAAAGGUUUGAAAGAAUGUUGCACUAUGUGAUGAAGAAAAUUGAGGGAAAACCAGGGCAUGCAUCAAACUCAUUUGCGGUUGUGUCAAGAAUGUCAAAUAGUUUUGCCUGUAUCAUUAUCAGAACUGUGUAAAUUAUUAGAGAAAUGUGAAAGAUGUUUUUCAGGCAGUGAACGCUGCUUGAAUCACUCCAUGCUGAUUUUUGUGAUCCAUUAUUUUAGCACCUAGCAGCCUAGUCCAUGGUGUUUAGUUUAUUUUAAUACUUUGUUAAUCGAAAUUUUAUCUUACUGCUCUUUAUUUAUAGAAGUUAAAUGUAAAACUUUCACCAAAAUGGCUAAGACCUCUUCUGUAAGUCCUUAAAGAGGCUUAUAUUAUGCCUUGGUCCUCGGAUGGAGUAGCCUUUCCAUUUCCUAAACUUUUUUGUACCGAGAAAAGUAGGAAUAUCAUUAAAUCGUAAUUAUCAUGAAAUUGUAAAAAAAGAAAUAAAUUACCCAAAAAUUAGGAUCAAAUGAAGGUCCACGCAGAUGUGUAUUUAUGCAAGGAGAAAUUCGUGCCUUGUUAGAUGGGGUUGUUAAGAGUGGCCCAUAUUUUGUUUUAUGGCUUAAAUCCAAAUCUAAGAUUUUGAAAAUAGUGGUAAUAUGAAAUGUGAUAAAAUCAGAAAUAAGAUCACCUAAACUUGUUUAAUACGAUCAAAACCAUAUAUAUGUUUUAAAUAAGAUAACCAUAUAUGUGCUUUAAAUAAGAAUGAAUUUAUGUAUACUCAAGUUUCGUCUUUGAACACCCUUGUUUCUCUGGAUAUGUGUGAUCAUGAAUAAAAAACAUUCAAUAAUCAAUUUCAUUUUUGGGUGGAAAUUAUGCUUACAGUCUUGGCAUGAGUAUGAACUUUUUUUUUUCUCAAAUAAAGUGAUAUUUUGCACUAAAAGUGUGAGAAGUAUUUGAACUUGAGAUAUACAACUGUCACAUCCCAGCCCGAGGUCAAUCACAUCCCAGGCACACUCUACCACCGUAGCACGAUAUUGUCCGUUUUGGUCCCCGACUACGCCCUCACAGUUUUGUUUCUGGGAACUCACAUGAGAACUUCCCAAUGGGUCACCCAUCAUAGGAUUGCUCUUGCGCACUACUCACUUAACUUCGAAGUUCCGAUGGAACCCGAAGCCAGGGAGCUACCAAAAAGCCUCAUGCUAGAUAGGGAUGAGAAUAUACAUAUAAGGAUCACUCCCCUGGGAGAUGUGGAAUCUUACAAUCCACCCCCCUUAAGGGGCCCGAUGACAUCGUCGGCACACCAUGGCCAGGGUUAGGCUCUUAUAACAAUUUGUCACAUCCCGGCCCGGGGUCCACCACAUCCCGGGCCCGCUCUACCACCGUAGCACGAUAUUGUCCGCUUUGGGCCCUGACUACGCCCUCACGGUUUUGUUUCUGGAAACUCACACAAGAACUUCCCAGUGGGUCACCCAUCAUGGGAUUGCUCUCGCACGCUACUCGCUUAACUUCGACGUUCUGAUGGAACCCGAAGCCAGUGAGCGCAACAUGGGAUCUUGCACAACUCUUUAGGAAGUGCAUUUAAAAUAAUUAAAAGCGUUUUUGGUGAAAAUAUUUUUGAAAACCAAUAUUUGGUAAAAAUUGAAAUAGAUUAUGCACACUUUAAGUGCUUCCUGUAAGAAACACAUAUAUGAUGUUUCCUUCUAAAAGCAAUUAAAGUGCUUUUGUAACUCAAAAUCAAUUUCAUAAAAAAUAUUAUUAAUUAUUUUAAAAAUACUUUCAAACAAGUAUGUAAUAAUCGUGCUAAAAUACUAGAGAAUCUAUAACUGUCGAACGAGAAGAAUCAAUUUAACUCCUUUCAGUUAGAUGGGAACAACUUUGAUAAAUAUUGAUAACUCUUAGAUGGAGUAUUAGAACAAAAAAAAAUCUAUUAGAUAAUGAAUUAUUGAUUCUAAGCCAUCUCAAAAAGGCAGAAUUAAAGACAAAAACAGUGGCCGACAUUCAAUUUGUAAACGAUCAGAAUUUUGGAACUAAAGAACCCCGUCAAAAUAUUUGGAAUUUGGCACUUGGCUUUGACCAACAUCGUCAGAUAAAAUCGAACAUUCAUAUCAGUAAAAGUACAUAUUUCCCACGUCAGCGCCAAGCGAGGCACAACAAACAAAAUUCCAUAAAAAAUAUAUAUAUUUUUUAAUCUUUUUCUUCAUCCCAGAUGAAUUUUUGUAAAGGAAAACUAACAAAAAUAAUUUGAAAAUUUUGAGUUUUAACGAUAAAGAUAAAAUAAAUGGUAAAAUGAACAAUAUCAUGAUUGAUUUUUUAAUGUAAAACUGUGAAUUUUUAUUAAAAUAAAUAGUACCUAGAACUUUUCGUUAAAAUUCUUUUUUUAUAAUUGUAAGUAUCAGCUAUUCAAACAGUACUUAAUGUAUAACUUUUUAGUAUAAAAUUGUAAAUUUUUUAUUAAAAUGAACAGUACCUAGAAUUUUUCGUUAAAAUUCUUUUUUUUAUAAUUGUAAGUAUCAGCUAUUCAAACGGUACUUCAUAUAUUUCAUAUAUAACUAUAUAAAUAAAAAAUUUGAUAUAUUUUUUUUUCGUAUAUAUUCAUGUAUUAUGACAUGUAGAAUUUCAACGCUAAAAAAUUUCUGUUCUUUUAAAUAGCAUUUCGUCAUUUCCUCACGGAGACCACAAAGUGGUUAUGAAGUAGAUUGCCUCCCCCAAGAAGGAUCAAGGCUGUAACAUGUCGGUGUCAUACCUAACUCCAUUGCCGCCUGUUUGAUUCCGUCGUCUGAAUUCCAGUCUGGUCUGGUCGGAAUCGAAUUCCCAGUGCUUGAGUCAAAGCUUCAGCCUUGAGCCAUGAAUGUCUGCUUGUUCCUCUUCACCUCUCUCUGCUUCUUACUCGGUCUGUUCACCCAGAGGUAAAAACCCACUUUUACUUUUUACCAUUUCAUCAUCUUCUGUUCUUCACUUGCUCGGUGUUUCCUGUUGAUGAUAAGCAUGAUCAUCUACUCGACAACCCAGAAUUUGUUUCAGUGUUUCUGCGAGAUUCCAUUUCGGAAUUGUUAAUUGCAACUUGCCCACUCAUUUAUUAGUAUUUGCAUUUGUGGCAUUAUUCUUUUGGGUUUCUGAGCUCAAAUUUACUAAUCUGAAAAUUUGUGUGUAACUGAGGAAUGUUGUGUGUUGGAUUAAAUGCUAUCACUAUUAUUUUGUUUUUUCCUUGUUUACUUUGGUUUUUUUUUUUCUGUUGCUAAUUUGUUUUAUUUGAUGAUCUCAAUGUUUCUGGUUUUGUGAUGCAAAUCGUGGUUGCAAAUGUAUGCUGAUUUCAGGGUGUCAUCACAAGAUCGCGCCAGCACCCCGCCGAGAGGUUGGAACUCGUAUGACUCGUUUAUCUGGACUAUUUCAGAGGAAGAAUUCUCCCAAAAUGCCAAAAUUAUGGCAAAGCAGCUCCUUCCUCAUGGAUAUGAGGUGUUUGAUGGAAUACGAUAAGAAUUUGGUUUUUUUGUUUCUUUUUUCGCAUUCAUUUGUACGUGUGAGAGUGGUUUUAUGCAUCUUUGUAUUUUCACUUCAAUGCAGUAUGCUGUGGUGGAUUACCUGUGGUAUAGGAGAAAAGUUCCAGGUGCUUAUGUUGAUUCUCUUGGGUUUGAUGUGAUCGAUGAGUGGGGGAGGCCGAUACCUGAUCCAGAUAGGUGGCCUUCGUCGAGAGGUGGGAAAGGGUUCGCUGAAGUGGCAGCAAAAGUACAUAGCCUCGGUUUGAAAUUCGGGAUUCAUGUCAUGAGAGGAAUAAGUACACAGGCAGUAAAUGCGAGUACCUUGAUCUUGGACACCAACACGGUAAUACUACUUAAUCACACCAACAAAGAUUCUGAAAAAGUACAUAGCCUCUCAUUUUUGUAGUGAUUAUAUUUUACAUAAGUUUGGAGGAUGCAUCAAAUAAUGUACUAGUUUAUCGUUAACAAAGAUUCAGAAAGCACACACAUAUGUAAUUCAUUUUUAUCUUUGAAAACAUAAGUGGUGCAAUGGGGGAAAUUGAAGUCUUGGUCUCAGUGCUUUAGUUUUCAUUCUCGUCUUUUAUCAGGGGUCUGCUUACAAAGAGGCUGGAAGAAAUUGGACUGCAAAAGAUAUAGGGAUCAAGGAGAGGACUUGUGCAUGGAUGCACAAUGGUUUCAUGAGUGUGAAUACCAAGUUGGGCGCUGGAAAGGCCUUCUUGAGGUCACUCUAUAAACAGUAUGCUGAAUGGGGUGUUGAUUUUGGUAAUUAACAAAAGUUCCCGUAUUUUGUUCAAUAUUAAGAUUGCGUCAGUUAUGGAUGACGACGUAAAGCAUCAGGAUACUCCUCUGAUAUUAUUUAUCUCUUGCUAACUCUGUCAUUGGUUGCUUCUUUUACCCACCCCCCGCAGUGAAAAAUGACUGCGUGUUUGGUGAAGACUUAGACGUACCCGAAAUAACCUACAUUUCAGACGUAACUCUCUCGCUCUCUCUCUCUCUCUCUCACACACACACACACACACACACACACAAAACAUGCAUCUUCAUCAAUAUUGUGAUGGAGAGUGGGUGCUUAACAAAUAAUGCAUACUUCUCCAGAUUCUGAAGCAACUUGACCGUCCUAUAUUGUAUUCUCUAUCUCCUGGAACCAGAGUAACACCUGAUAUGGCCAAGGCUAUAAGUGGAAUGGUCAACAUGUACCGUAUAACUGGGGAUGAUUGGGAUUCAUGGGGAGAUGUUCUAGCCCAUUUUGAUGUCACCAGGUGAUUGACUUGUUUUUCAGUACAAGGUUUCGUUCAGAUUAACUUUCGCAUAUUCUUUGUUUUUCGUGUGUGCUGAACACAAUAAAUUCCGUACCAGGGAUUUUGCUGCUGCUGAUAUGAUAGGAGCCAAAGGCUUGCUGGGGAAGUCAUGGCCGGACUUAGAUAUGCUUCCGUUGGGAUGGCUUAGUGAUCCAGGUCAGAGGACUUAGCAUUUUUAUUUCCUUUAUAUGGCAAUGAAUAUUUUCCUUUCAAGAUUCUAAGAUAGAUGACUGAGCUCUAUUGACGCUUGCCUGAUGUGCUUGGUUUCAUACUGAUGGGUUGUCAUCGCACUGCAUUUGAGUGUGAAAACGAUCAAGUUCAAUAUCUAGGACCAACUGUAUCCAUGUCAAUUCGGCUGAGCAACUUCAACCGGAUAGUUCUAGAAUAUCAUUAUAAGGCAUUGCAGGGUUAUUUAUCUCCUCGAAAUUUACAAAAUCUGAAAUGCACUUUGAGUUUGAUAUUUGAUGAGUGGUUCUCAUAAUUUCAUUUCAUAUUUUGAAAUAUUAGGUUCAAAUGACGGUCCACACAGAUGGACUAAUCUCGGUUUAAGGGAGCAAAGAACGCAGGUACUUACAUGAGGACGAUUGAGUCUUUUAAGUCCUUUUUUAUUCGCUGAGCAAUGUUUUUGACCUUGUGCAUUUAUUUUCACAGAUGACUUUGUGGUCUAUGGCCAGGUCUCCUCUCAUGUUUGGAGGGGAUAUGAGACAGCUUAAUGAUGUCACAAUGGAACUCCUUGCAAACCCUACCGUGCUGGAGAUAAAUUCUUUUAGCUCAAAUAAUAGGGAGGUAUGUUGAAUAGACAAUUCAUAAAAUCAUAAGAAAAAAAUUUGUUCGUGGUAGCACAUAAAAUCUUAUUUUGUUGCAUUUACAGUUUUCAUACAUUACAAGUAAUGUGAGUGCAAAGGCCGUUAAGAAUGAUGAUCACGUUCACACCUGGCAAUCAAGAAGACAUCUGACAAAUGCAAAAACUACAAAUACACAUGUUCUUGGUCUCACUACCUGUGCAGAUGCAAAAGCAAUUGGUUGGUCCUCUCAAGCUCUUGACCAAGAUCGCGAACACAUCUGCUGGACGGCAAACUCAAGGGGCAAACAUCAGGCACCUUUUUGCUUAAACAAGACAGAAUCUCUCCUGGCAAUGUAAUAUUUUUUUAUCUUUCCCUGAUCUGUUUUCUCAAUUUUAUUAUGUUUACUUGCGCUGUUACAAACUUGAUAAAUCUGGUUCACUGCUGAUAUAGAGAUGAAGACAUAACGGACAAACAGCAAUAUCUGGGGAAGGUCAAUUUAUUAGCAAAUGAUGGAACGGAUCGCUGUUUGCAUGCUUCUCCUAAACAAAAGCUUACUUCGAAGGACGUUAAGAGAGGUUUCCUUUCACCUUGUAGAUGGGAUGCAAACCAGGUAUCUUCAGUCCCGAUACAUAGAUUUAAUCCAUACAGAAUUGAUAUCUUGCAUACACCAUUGAGUGUCUAAUCUGAACAAGUUGUACGGAAUGAAUUGUAUCGUGAAGGAGUGACAUUUUGAAAUGACGUAUUCGAACUUAACAGAUGUGGGAGUUGAACCCCAACGGAACCUUGGUGAAUAGUUAUUCUGGCCUCUGUGCAAGAAUUGAUUCUUUAUUUGAAGGUAACAAAUUAAAACGCGAGUGCCUUUUCGUACAUUGAUUCUGUCAGCGAGUCUUGAAAUCAUGUUUAAAUCAUGGUUUAAACUUACAAGUUGAUCACCUGUUCAGCUAAAGCCGUCACUGAUGUUGCUCGCUCUUGGAUUGCAACUGGAACAAAAGGUUUAGCAUAUUUCUCAAUUCUCAACGUAACUGGUGCAUAUUUCUCGAUUGUCAAUUCUGAUUCUGUUUGCGUUUCUGCAAUUACAGGAGAAAUAUACAUAGCGUUUUUCAAUUUGUUCAGUGAUUGGGCUACUAUAACUGCACAAAGAGCAGACAUAGUCAAAGAACUUCCAAUGACAAAAUUGGCCAGAGGUUCUUGCACGGGAUCGGAAGUAUGGACCGGACAAGACUUAGGGGUAAUAGGCGACGCAAUUUCUUUUUCGGUUAUACCGCACGGGGUUGCACUGAUUGUCCUGCACUGUAGUUAGGUGCAGGAUAAUCCAAAGCAUUUUUUAGGUGUAGUUUUGCUGCUUGUUCUUCAUGUUCUUUAUUUUUCAGCAAAUAAGAGGGAAAGGGAUGUGGCACAUGCUGUAAUAUUUAGGGGGGUGUAUUCGAUUGAGAAUUUGAGAUAAUUUAAUGGAUUUAUAAAUCCAUUGAUUUUUAUAAAGUUUAAUUGAUUUGUAGAGAUUCCAUAUAGAAUCUUAAUUCAAUUCUCUCGAAAUCUCAUGGGAAGAUAUGAGAUUUGUGGAUGCUUAAAAUAUACUACAAAAUCUCUCAAAUUCCCUUUAAUUCCUCAACUUUUUCAAAUUCUUUAAAAUCAAUUUCUAAUUGAAUACACCUGGAAUGUUAUAAAUUUCUUUAAAAUCCUAAUUGAAUGCAUCCGGAUUUCUAAGGAUUUUAAUAAACUAUAUUAAAAUUCUAAUUGAGUACACUUUGAAUUUCAAAAAAUCACUUAAAAUUUUGAUUGAAUACCCCUAAAUUCAUUAAAAUAAUUAAAAUCCCUCAAAAUCUCAAUUGAAAACACCCCCUUAACCUUUAAGAAUCAGUGAGAAUGAUAAUUUGGUUUAUUAUAUUUUGCACCCUCAAAUUUGGAUGGAAUUGCGAUUCCAUAGUUCAUUUGAAAUACCUGCCACUCCAAAGAAAACAAAUAUAAAGACAAAAGUGGCAAGCGAAUUUAAAUAAAUACAUAACAAUAGGCUGACUUUUUUCUUAGUUCCUGUGAUGAUAUCGCCCUUUAAAUUUGACCCAUCGUGGUUAAAAGCUAUCAAUUAAAGACUUGUGGUGAACCUUGUUCAUACUUACAGUUUAAGUUCAAACUUCCCUUAAUUUCUCUCUUCUUUGUUAGUAUAAAUGUCAAAUUUUUAAAUUGAGAAUUUUAACGAAAAACUCCUAAUAUUGUUCGCUUUAACGAAAAACCACAUUUUUACACUAAAAAGUCAAUCUUGGUACUAUUUAUUUUACCCUUUAUUUUGUCAUUAUUGUUAAAACUCAAAGUUUUCAAGCAAUUUUCAUUAGUUUUCCUUUUUAAAUUUUGGUCGUCAAACAUAAUUCAAUGAUUGUCACACCACGGAUCUGGGGUCGAUAAUAAAAACUCAAACCCGAAUCUGAAACGUAAAUAAAAGGAAAUAGAAACGGGUUGGAAAAUAAAUUUCUUCUUAUAAAAUGACUCAUGAUUCUUAACAAAUCAGGAAUUCUUUACAACCUGCAGUAAACAGAUGAGUAAACUUUCUCUACUCCAAUCUAAUUUGAUCUCAUCCUACCUACCCUCUUGAAUGUCUAGUUCGUAAGCUUGCAUAACAAUAGCGGGAUGAACUUCAACAGCUCAAUAGGGACAUAACCUUAUCAUAGUAAAUUGACAAUAUUAAAUUAAGUGUCAUGAAAUCAUAUAGCCAAAUAUCAAAUCAAUAUUGAUUCAUUAUUGAUAAUAAUGCAUGAAUGUAAUGCAACCUCUUCAGCUACCCCCAUUAAUUUAUAUAAUAAAACACGCGGACUUGCACGUCCCAUACCAUGCAUUUUACUACUGCAGAGGUGGUUCAAAUGUUCUAUUAUAGAAACUAACCCCCAUAUGAUAUCCCAAGUUCAUAAACCCCUUUUGCUAGUUAUCUUAUCUAAUUCAUUGAUCUCCAACCCAAAUAAGCCACAUCAACAAUUCCCAUCGAUAUCCUAUUCUACUGUGCACAUUGAGCUUGCUUGGAACUGGUUUCACAAUUAAUAGAGUCAACUACACAAAAGAUCAUUUCCAACUACCCUCAUUUCCCGAAUUCAAAUCUCAAUACUGAAUUUCCAACCACAUCUCAUCCUGCCUAAACCUUUUGUUGAGGCACAAAACCAGAGGUCUUGGAACAACAUAAAUCCGACCGUGAAUCUGCAGAAAAUGUAAAUAACACAAGAUGUAUCGUGGUUCACCCCAAUGUUUGGGCUACGUCCACACUAAUAUUGUAUUUCUCUGAGAGGAUUAUGAAGGAGAGAGGGAGCUUCUCUAUGAGGAUGAGAGCUAUGAGAGGGUGAAGGUGUGGCCUAAGAAUUGGCCUCCCUUAAUGAGGAGAGUGAGGGGUCCUUUUAUAGAAUAAGGGUUCCUCACUUAUUACAUAUUUGCCCCUACCUUUAUUACAUAAUUACAUUUGAGUCCCCCCGAGUAUUUAUACGAGAUCUAAAUACGGAGGCCCUAAGUAUGGUACAAACAGUAGUCCCCCAAGUCUUCAAUCAUGAGAGUCUUUUGGCUGGAGACUUAAAAUUCAGUCCAUGUGUGGGCCGAAAUAACUAGAUGUCGUCUAGAAUUAAUACUCGAUAUGAGACGGUGCUCAAUUUGAAAUGAUGCUCAACUAGAAGUAGCACAGGUUGCGAGGCUACUCUAUUUGUGGCUUAUGUUUCCUUGGUUGACUCGGCUUGUGGCGUUAAAGGUGAGGGAGUCCCUUUUAUAGAAUAAAGGCUCGCUUCUCAAUACAAAAAUGAUGGGCUAGAGUCGAUGCUCACGGCGAGACGGUUGCUUAGCAGGCAGCGAUGUUCUCUAAUGAUGGUGAGGGAGUCUCUUUUAUAGAAUAAGGGUUCGCUUCUCAAUACAUAAAUGAUGGGCUAGGAGUGAUGCUUGCGGCGAGGCGGUUGCUUAGCAGGCGGCGAUGCUCUCUAAUGAAGGUGAGGGAAUCCCUUUUAUAAAAUAAGGGAUCGCUCCUCAGUACAUGAAUAAUGGGUUAGGAGUGAUGCUCGCGGCGAGGAGGUUGCUCAGUAGGCGAUGGUGCUCUCUAAUGAUGGUGAGGGAGUCCCUUUUAUAAAAUAAGGGCUCGCUCCUCGGUACAUGAAUAAUGGGUUAGGAGUGAUGCUCGUGGCGAGGUGGUUGCUCAGCAAGCAGCGAUGCUCUCUAAUGAUGAUGAGGGAGUCCCUUUUAAAAAAUAAGGGCUCGCUCCUCAAUACAUAAGUGAUGGGCUAAGUCCCCCAAGUAUUUCUCAUGAAGCCCAGUUGAGGCUCAAUAUAUGGUACAUAAUCUAGUCCCUCAAAUCUUCGGUCAAUAGAGUCUGUUGGCUGGAGACUUCAAAUUGAAUCCAUGUAUGGGCCGAAGUGGCGGUUGUUCGGAUGUGAUAUUUGUAUACCCUGCACUGAAGCUUUGUAGGUGAAGCUUUGCAAGUGAAGCUUUAAAGCUGGAGCUUUUGUAAAUGAAGUUUUUGAAGCUGGAGCUCUGUAAAUGAAGCUUUUGAAGGUAGAGCUUUUAUAAAUGAAUUUUUUGAAGCUAGAGCUCUGUAAAUGAAGUUUUUGAAGCUAGAGCUCUGUAAAUGAAGCUUUUGAAGCUAGAGCUUUUGUAAAUGAAGCUUUCGAAGCUAGAGCUCUGUAAAUGAAGCUUUUGAAGCUGAUUGACAUAAGUGAUGCUCAUGAAUGUUUAUGUUGAUUGACAUGAGUGAUGCUCAUGGAUGUUGACAUGAGUGAUGCUCAUGAAUGUUGACAUGAGUGAUGCUUAUGAAUGUUGACAUGAAUGAUGGUUAUGAAUGUUUAUGUAUGAUUGAUAUGAGUGAUGCUCAUGAAUGUUUAUGUAUGAUUGACAUGAGUGAUGCUCAUAUAUAAUUUUGGAGUACUAGACGUACUUUUGAUCACCUAGUGGGUAAUAAUAGCGGCAGGCAGCCGAAUAAUUUUUUGUAGUACUGGGCGUACUUUUGAUCAUCUGAUUGGUGAUAAUAGAGGGCCUCGCUCUUUUGGGCAUAUGGGCUUUCGCCCUCCACAUAACAUUCCAACCCAUUAUUUUGGGUUUUUUUUUUACUAUUACCCUCUGAUAGGGUUUAUACAGAUGUCUCCGAAAGAUAAGAAAAAUAAAUUACAUCAUUAAAAAAUAAAGUCGACCAUCUGCUCAAUGGGUCACGCCUAUAAUUCCCUCUUCUGCAUGUUAUCCUCACCACAAUUAUGUCUUUUUCUUUUUCUAUUCUUUUCCUCCUUCUUUUUCUUUUUCUUUAACAUCAUGGUGUCGUCUGUGAGGAGUGGGAACAUGCAUGAUGAAAGUUGGUGGGCAUCUUUUGCGCUGUCAUCGUGCCAAGUUGAUUCCCUUAAUCAACUUGGAGCUUGGGCUGAUGUGCAUUAGUGGAUAGCUAUACUUUCAGCUUUUUCUUGUUUUUUUCUUCUUUCUGCAAUUAUCUUAGUGGGUGGGGUUUUUGUUUGGAGCAUAAUCUUACCCCCGAACACAUCAUUGAUCAAUUUGCUCAUGUUGUUCGCCACCCGGUCCACCUGCAAAGUAGGCCAUCGGGUCCACCUACAAUAUUCGCCAACCUGAAACUUACCACGAUCAUCCUCGCUGUGUGGAGUUUCAGAUCGAAACUCUGUAAUUCGUGAUGUCGUGGUAGAACAAGACCGCCCUCAACAAGGUCGACGAGCUUGUUGACAUUAGUCUGUAGUUUCUUGAUGGCAGAGCCAUCCUUGUUGAACUACAAUUCCUUGGCCAUGGUACAGAUUCUGGGAGACCGUGUCCUCCUUAAAGCCACAUUCUGCCUUUUAGAGACGGAAAAUGAAGAGAAUGAAGCACGAGACGACAAGUUGUCGAAUUUCCUGUCAAUGACACGGCCGCUAGGAGGUCGUCGAUCAGACAUGAGAGGACUGGAAGUCAUCGAUCCGACCUGAGAGGACCUUGGAACUCUGAACCUGAGUGGGACUGACAGCCGACGAAAAUGACUGUGUCUCCGACGGCGGUGAGGUUGAGGAAGUCCCCUGACAGAGCCCUCUCCCCCGACUUUCUGGGAUCGUGGUGCAAGUUCCUGCUCAUCAGCUUCUGUUCGUAUAUCUCUCGAGUCCCCAUCGUCGGAUUCUGACAAAAAUGCUACCAAUUUCAGAGAAAUCAACUGACGGAGGCGAUGGUAACUCAAUUGGCGGAAAUGACGGCAGCUAUGAAGGAGAUGAAUCACACGGGUUAGGCUCGGUUCGACGAGUCGGGUCAGUUUUGCCUCUGCGUUGUAGAGAGAAUGGAGAGUGGGCGUACAUAGAGAUACGCGUGGGGGAGGCGGGCUAGUCUUGAACCUUCUCGUUGCCCUCUCCGCUAAGAAUGACGCCCUGAACUGUAGCACCGUAGGCAUCACCAUCCCCACCAAGAAAGAACAAGUCUUCUCAACCUACUCCGACGACCAGCCCAGAGUCUUGAUCCAGGUGUACGAAGGAAAGAGAACCAGGAUCAGGGACAACAACUUGCUCGGAAAAUUCGAGCUCUCCGGAAUCCCGACUGCACCCAGAGGAGUACCCCAGAUCAUCGUCUGCUUCGACAUUGACGCUAACGGUAUCUUGAAUGUCUCUGCGGAGAACAAGACCACCAGACAGAUCUAUAGCUUUUGUUGGGGACUGUGAAAAGCAAAAGAUAAGCUUAGCUUGUAGCUUUGGAAAUCAUAGUGUUAGUUGGGUUGAAAUCCCUGUGAAAUCGCUUUUGUUGCAGAGUCUUUUUGUUGGGGACUAUGAAAUCCCGGCGAAGGAUAAAAGUGUUUGAGAUUUAGAUUUUUUCUGUUUCUGGGUUUUUUGUGAUUUUGCAGAUUCACGGUGGAGGUGAAAAAAUGAAGGAGAAUCGACACAACUUUUCAUAUCGAUUCCCACAGACGGCGCCAAAUGUUGAUGCACAAAACCGGAGGUCUUGGAACAACGUAAAUCCGACCGUGAAUCUGCAGAAAAUGUAAAUAACACAAGAUGUAUCGUGGUUCAUCCCAAUGUUUGGGCUAUGUCCACACUGAUAUUGUAUUUCUCUGAGAGGAUUAUGAGGGAGAGAGGGAGCUUCUCUAUGAGGAUGAGAGCUCUGAGAGGGUGAGGGUGUGGCCUAAGAAUUGGUCUCCCUUAAUGAGGAUAGUGAGGGGUCCUUUUAUAGAAUAAGGGCUCCUCACUUAUUACAUAUUUGCCCCUACCUUUAUUACAUAAUUACAUUUGAGUCCCCCGAGUAUUUAUACGAAAUCUAAAUACAGAGGCCCUAAAUAUGGUACAAACACCCUUAAUGAAUAGCAUUCCAGCAAUAAUUUCAUAACCAAUAACAAGUAAACACUUAUUGAAGCAAUUAGCCAAUUAAUAUCCAAUUGCAUUAAUCAACCAAAAAGAUCAAGAAUAUUAUAGCACUUCACGAAAUUUAAUAAAAUCAAUUUCCGUAAAGGUCUGCCGUAUUUCCCCUGCAUGGAUUCCAAAGCUAAAAUGAAGAUCAACGUCACUACCGGAAUAGCUAAGCUUCACGUACUUAUCCAUGUCACUACCGAAAUAGUUAAGUUCCAUGUACUUGAGGAAGCUCCCUGAUUGCUCCUAACACCAUAUAUUUAUUUUACUUUCUUUUAUUUUCUAAUCUCUCUCUAUAUGUAUGUGCGUAGGUAUACAUACAAGUACAUGCAUACAUAUAUAUCAUAUAGUAUGCAUACGAACAUAUCGUUAUAAAUAUAUAUAGACACUUAUAUAUAUACACACAUGAGCUGCAGAGCAUGCAUUGCAUGCUAGCUCUCCCUCGAAAACAAAUGGAGACGAUCUCCUAUUUAUACCAUAAAUAAGGCAGCAAACUAGUUGUUCUCAUUGGUUUAUAAGUUUCUCUACAAUCAACUCCACUUGCUAUUACACCAUUUCACGUUAGCUAUAGGCAUCAUUAGUCAUCAACAUAGCCUUCAAUAAUCAUCACCCUACAGUGCUUUCUAAGCACUCUAAAAACACCAAGUGAUAACACCUAAGCUACAGACUUUCCACCAAACAUGCUAAUAAUAGGAUUAGUGUCCUUAAGGUAGGCAGUAAACACCACGUGGCAAACUUAGCCACUCAAUGAAUGACAUUUGUUUACAAUUUCCUAGUUCAAUUGUAAAUUCUGAAAUCGUAGAGAGUUCGAAAUGUAUUUCAAAAAUGCCAUGAGCUCAUUAUAAUUCCUACUAUCUUCAUAUAAGAACCUUUUCGAUAAAUAAUUUCCAAAUAAUUCUCUUCUUUGGUAAUAAAUUAUUGGGAUCUCACAAUGAUAUUGUAAGGCCGCCACGUAAUGGAUACAAAUUUAAAGGAAAGAAACACACAUUGUACUCCAAAAGCUACAUCACUAAGCACGUUACAUUUCCAACAAGCAACUACAUAUAACUUCAUCAUGUACAUUUUUGGAUAUUUUUGGUAAUUAUAGGAAUGAUUACGGUAUGUUGGACGCCAAUCUGAAACGAUGAUAAAAAGAAAAUAAUUUGAACAAGAAUAGAGCGUAACAUCAACUUUUUUACAUUUCAUAUCAGUCACAUGAUGAGUAAAAUCUAAUAAACUUUUCACAGUAUAAAAUUUGAAUUCAAAAAGUCUCGAUACAAUUUAGAAAUAAAUGCCAUUUAAUAAUAUAACCUCACGAUCAUCUCUCAUAUGUGCACAUAAUUAGCGGAUGAACAAAGCUUGAAGCAUGAAAUAAUUAAAGCAACAAAGGUGGCUGAUGAAAAAUAUCUAAUUCUAUUCGGCUACGUAAGCACACAAGUCACACACUGUGUAAAAAUAAUUUUAUAAAAUUAAUUAGUUAAUUAACUGUCACAUUUUAGUUCCACUUAAGACAUACAUAUCAUAUCAUCACGUGCGGCAGCCCCAACUUGGAGUUUGGAAUAUUAUAUUUAUUAAAAUUAUUAUUGUCACUAGCGGUGGUGAAUUAAGGGAGUGUUUGAGAAGUGUUUUUUAAUGAUUGAAAAUGCUUUAAAAGUAAAUAUUUUUUGUUGCAAAAACACUAAAAGUACAUAAGUGAUUUUUUCAAGAAGCAUUAAUUUUGUGUUUCUUGCAGGAAGCACUUUAUAUGUUUUUUCAAAAUUAACUUGCAUUUGUAUUAAGAAUUGAUUUCAAAAAUAUUUUUCUAACAUCAUUUUAAGUUAGUUAAGCACUUCCAAACGAGCUCUAACUCAAUCCAAAAACAUUGAAUUCGUAUAUUUGAUAAUUGGACAAUAGUCAAAAAAAAAUUUAGUUGAUUUGUAAUAUGAAUAUUUUUAUUUUGUUGUUGUAAUUGCCGUGGAUUUCAUAUCCGUCAACGAUGAAAGGAGGCAUCGUUCAAUUAGUAUUAAUAAUUGUUUUCUAUUUACCCAUAGAAAAUGAUUAAAAAAUAACAAAUAAAUUUAAUCUCCAGAAAUGACGUUUUACUGUAGUAGUUAAAAUUAAUUAUGUCUAUGCACUAUGUGAAGAAUCGUUCUUAUUAAUUCUCAACGUCACUAACAAUUAACUAUUUAAUCCAUUAAGACUAUAAUUCUACCAAAAAAAUAAAUUUAAUUCCAAAAAAUAUAAUAUUUUUUAGAAAUUUACUAUUAUUAAAGGGAAUUGUUUUUAGCACUCCAAAAUUUUCAUUCUACACUCCUAACUUUUUAUAUUUAGAAAGAAAAAUACACUUGUGAGGAGUGUAAAAUAAGAUUUUUGGAGGGCUAAUAACACUUCCCUUAUUAAAAAAUGAGAAUAGCUCGAAACGAUUGUAAUAAUUUAAAGAUGAUGUGUUUCAAACUGAGAUAACCCAAGACUGUUCACAAGAAUAUUUGUACCACAUGCACAAUACGUUACGACAUCAAUUUUGUAAUGUUUGGCGCCUCGUAUUGACUCUCCCUCGUGGCGAACCAUUGAACCAACCCCUCAUCUAUAAGUAUCGUAAAUUCUUCACUCCUCUAUCCUCAUUGAAACUUUCGCGGCAGACAACGAGGGUAGACGGUGCGCACUCUAAGGAUCUCCAAUUUUCUUGCUCUCCAUACCUUCCAGUUUAACCAACUCCCCCACUUCUCUCUCUCUCUCUCUCUCUCUCUCUCUCUCUCUCUCUCUCUCUCUCUCUCUCUAACAUUUUCCCGACUUUUCUUUUCCUCUUUCCAUCGCUUUCUCUGCAUCCAAACAUGAACGCUACGGUAAUUACAACAACAACACUGCCUCAUUUCUCAUCCUCCCGCUCCGCCGCCGCCGAAUCAUCCUCAAACCGCCAAUUGCACAACCUUAUACCGGCCAAGUUGAAACUCGACAAACAAAACAACAGAUGUUCCUUAUCCAUAAAAUGCAGCCCCAGUCGAGGAAUUCGAAUCACGAGCGCGUUGGCCUUGACGGCGGCGGAGGCACCUCCGUCGAAGGCCACGGAGAUGGUGGCUGACAAGAUAAAACGGCUCGUUUUGGAAUUCAAGUCCCUGGCGGAGCCAAUCGACCGCGUGAAGCGGCUACUACACUACGCAGCGAGGCUCCCGCCGGACAAUGUGUCGGCGCGGGAGCCAGAGAGCCGAGUCCAGGGGUGCUCGACGCAGGUGUGGGUGGAGGCGGAGAUGGACGAGGCGGGGAGGAUUAGGUUCCGGGCGGACAGCGACUCGGAGAUCUCGAAGGGGUUCUGCUCGUGCCUGAUUUGGAUGCUCGACGGCGCAGAGGCGGGUGAGGUUCUGGCAGUGGAGACGCAUGAUUUGCAGGACGUGAAUGUGGGGGUGUACGGGAAGGUGAAUUCGAGAGUGAACACGUGGCACAACGUGCUGCUGGCGAUGCAGAGGAAGGCUCAGGCUUUGGUGACGGAGCGAAAGCAGGGGAUACGGGGGACUAAUCAGUAAUGAGGUAUAUAUAUUAUACAAGCAAUAAUGGCGAGAGAGGGUAAAUCAAACCGGUGAAAACAAUAAUCGAACUCGAGACAUCAGACGCUAGGUAACUGAGAUAUACGUCUAUCAAUAUUUUUGGUAACUUGUGAAUCAAGUUAGCAGAAAUUGAAGCACAUUAUUAUGUGUUAUUGAAAUAUAUUGCGUUGAAUCAAAUUUAUUGUGUUGUAUUAGAAUACAUACAGAGAGAAAUUAGAUAAUUUUAUCUCAUUUUUCUUCGAUGGUAUGUAACAUUAAGUAAUUCGAAAAAUAAAUAUUUAAAAAAUUUAAACAAUUGUGAAAAUUAGAUUUAACAGUUAAAACAUUUGUACCGUAAAAUCUAGGUAGCAAUGAACCUAUAUCGGACCCUAUUCAACCUUUCUUUUCUUCGGUCCUUCUUGCGAUGGCGAUGGAUUCCGGACGCUUAACUCGUUUAGCAAGGCGCAAUAAACAGUGAACAAUGCCCAAAAGUCUUCAAAACAAAUAGCCCUUUUCAUGCAAUACACGGACACCCAUCUAAUUUACAUGCGGUGGCAUUUAGAGCAAGUCAGGCAAAUAAUGGACCCAAAAAGUCAGGCAAAUAGUGGGCCCAAGCCUGCCCGACAGGCCCAUCAAGCAUUCUGACCCGACACAACUGGAUCCUCUCUGGAUCCAAAAUGAUCUGAGCCUACUGAGCAAUGUAUCCGGGCCAUUGAAAUUUGAUCAAACGGCUACAAUUAGUAUAACUUUAGAGGGGCCCCUGUUUGUAACCGUUGGAUCAAAUUUCAAUGGUCCGGAUGCAUUGCUCAGUUGGCUCAGAUCCGUUGGAUAGGGAGAGGAUCCAGUUCCUGUCCCGACCACUUCUCUGAGUGCCAUCUGAUGUCACAUGUGUCAGAUCAACAUAACGUCAGUCACAUUAUUAAUUUUUUUUUUUUUUUUACGUUAGGCGCGCGCACAAACACCCGAGUGGGUGGUGUGUUUUGGCAAACAAACAAGGUCAGUGGGGCCCAACUUGCAGUGCACUAAGCGCGGGUUGUAUAUAUGGGCGACAUGGCCCAUUUUCGAACGAUGAAUUUUCAAUGAAAAUUUGGACCAUUGGUUUUCCAAUGGUAAAGAAAGUUUUGAUUUCUAAUCCAGUGGCUAGUGCACGCGACGUGACGUGUACAAUUAGAUUUCUAACCGUCACAUAUUCCAACUGUACAUAUUAAAAGCGUAAAAUCUCAAAUUGGCCCAACCCAAGGUGUGGCGUUCUUGCCCAAGAUAUGCAGCCUGGCGGCACUGGUAGCAUAUAGGGGAUAUGCCCAAGAUAGUGUAAUGGGAGAUGAACCGACUAAGGCUAGCUUUCCACUUCCACUUGUAAUUGUAAAGCAAUUAAAUUCAACCGACUAAGGUUAGACAUACUAAAUUUAUAAAUUAAAUAAUGUGUUAUAAAUAAGAAAUAAGCAACUUAAAUCAUUUUUUUCCUUUUGUUUUUUGUUUUUUGCAUGUAGUCCAAUAUCUUAAUGGAUUUUCACCCAUGCAUUCCGGAUUCGAAACUCCUUAUCUCCUGAAUUAUGUAAUAUUAUUCUCAGGAAAAUUAUCAGGAAACAUACUAUGCAAUCUGCUUUCUUCCCAAAACCUAUAGUCAACUCAUAAAUUUACCAUCUAAUUUAACAAAUUUAUCCUUUGAAAAUAAUAAUAAUAAUAAUAAUAAUAAUAAUAAUGAAAAACUCUCAUUGAAUUUUUGAAGGGUUUUUUUUUAGAACUUUAACUAAAAGCUUAUAGAACUGUUUAUUUUAAAGAAAAUCUAUAUUUUUACACUAAAAAAAUUAAUCAUAGUACUAUUUACUUUACCCUUUAUUUUAUCUUUAUUGUUAAAAUUCAAAAUUUUCAAACAUUUUUUAUUAGUUUUUUUUUGUUCUUUUCUCCAGAAAAAGGUGCACUGUAAAGAGCAUCACAACCGUCAAACUACCAAGCACAAAACCCAACAAGUCACGCAAACACCCCAACGCUCCAACUUGCAUGAGGCCCACGACUUACUCGGGGCCCACAAAAUCAACGGUUCACAGUUCGACCUCCCGGGCCCACUUUGACAAUCAGACCGCCUCAGGAAAUCACCACGUAGCUGAUAUAGCUGGUGAGUUGUAUUUCCUACACACAAAAGCUCACGCGCCCACUCUCCUUGCUCUUCCCUCUUCUUCUCAUGUUCUCGGAGCUCCGGCUACAAUAACGGAGCCCCAGCUCGCAUCUCACCUUCUAGUUUCUUUUUAUUUUAUUUUCGCCUUCGUCCCGUUCCAUUUUUUUUUCAAAUUUUUCUGGUCAUUUUUCUCCCUUUCAUUUCGAACUGCGUUCACAGAUCUCGCAAACCGUCGAAGAUGGCCAAACCCUGGGGUACUGUCGGCAACUGGGCCGCCGAGGCUGAGCGAGAAGAGGCCGAGGAGCUCGCGGCGGCCGCCAAGGCCGAGUCCCAGAGCUUUCCCAGUCUAAAGGAAGCCGUCAGCGCCAAGCCCAAGAAGAAGAAGAUGAGCCUCUCUGAAUUCUACAACGCCUCCGGCACCCCCGCCUCUAAUCGUGUCGGCCUCACUCCCGACGAGAUGAUGCGCCUCCCUACCGGCCCCAAGGAGCGCUCUGCCGAAGAAAUGCAGUACGGUCGCCUCGGUGGCGGGUUUCCCUCCUACGGUCGCUCUGGUACGAAUCCGGGUCGGGGCGGGGACAGAGAGGGCGGGGACGGGUCGUGGGGUGGUGGAGGAAGAAGAUCCUACGGUGGAUUCGACGACGACAGGAGGGGCCCGCCUUCUAGGGUUUCUGAUUUAGAUCAACCGUCAAGGGCGGACGAGGUUGACAAUUGGGCAAUGACUAAAAAGUCUCUUCCUUCUGUAGAUUCCGGUAGGCAGAACCGGUAUAGCUCGCUCGGUAGUGUUGGUGCUGGGGGUGGGGGUGGUGAUGGUGUAGGUGGUGGUAUGGGCGGCCCAGCUUGGUCUAGGGCAGACGAGGUUGAUAACUGGGCUGUUGGAAAAAAGCCUACUCCUUCUAGGUCAUCCCCAUUUGGGUCUGAAUUUCAUUCGGGUCCGGAACCGGAUCGCUGGGUGAGAGGCGGACGCGAGGUCGACAGAGUUGAGAGAGAGCGACCCAAAUUGGUUUUGGAUCCUCCGAAAGCCGAGUCCGGCGUGAAUGAGCCAUCGCAGGUUGUGAAGACCAAUAAGCCGAACCCCUUCGGAGCAGCUCGACCUAGGGAGGAGAUUUUGGCUGAGAAAGGGUUGGAUUGGAAGAAGUUGGAGUCGGAAAUAGAAGCCAAGAAGACGAGUAGGCCGACGAGUGCCCACUCAAGCAGGCCUUCGAGUGCUCAGUCAAGCCGGUCUGAAGGGCCCGGGCUGCAUGCAAGUGAUAAUGUGGUGAAGCCGCGGCCGAAAGUAAACCCCUUUGGUGAUGCCAAGCCAAGGGAGGUUUUGCUGGAGGAGCGGGGUAAGGAUUGGCGGAAGAUUGAUCUCGAGCUGGAGCAUCAGGGUAUUGACAGGUUGGUUUUGCUUUGUAUUUUGUCGAUUUUGUAGGUAGUGCAUUCAGCUAAGUAAUGGUUUCAAUAUGUAUGGUAAUGGUUGGUUGAUUGUUUUUUUGCUAUUAAGAAUUGCCCAGUUGCUGAUGCUUAGAAUAUUAGUCAUGUAUAGUUUUAGGAGGAAAUUUAUCGGUCUACUUUCUUCAAGUGGAAUGGGGAACCUUUUAAUUCAUUAGUGCUUUGCUAACACUAAAAACAAAAUGCUAUGUCAUGAUUUGUCAUGAGGACUGUUCUAAGCAUGCCCCCGUGAGAUCCUGUAUUGAAAUUCGACUGUUCGCCAUUUUAAGCGAUAGUUUCUUUUUCCUUCAAGUAGCGCUUCGAACUCUUUUUUUAUUGCUCGACUUCAUUUGUUACUUGCAUUGCUUCUUCAUUUCUUCAUCUUAGUCCCUACUUACUUGCCAUAAGUUGUCUUACUAGUUAAUCAUCGGGAGAAUACUGCUGGAAUUAUUCCCAGCAACUACAAGUGUAUGCAAAGAAGCUAGAUGGGUUAGUGCCGUUUGUCACCUUUGGUUUAUGUUUCGAUUGAAAGGGGUCUAUAGAAAUGAGUAGACUAGUGUAUGGUUGAAACAAGGAGAUUAUGUUUGGGUUAGUGCCUCCUCUUGGGCACAUUCUUGUCUUAUUGUGUGUUUGUGGUGUGGGGGUGAAAAGAGUUUACGUAACUUUUUUCUUCCCCUCCCCGAUGAAGUAGAUAUUCAUUGCAUACAACUAGGCAGUCAGAGACAUUGCACAAGACCAUGUCUUUUUCUUUGCUGGAUGUUAUGCUGAAACAGCCUGGUGUCUUUUUCUUUGCUGAAUGAGUCUGAUCUAAUCACAAGAUACUAAUUUUGUUUGCUUUUAUAAAUAUUCAAACCUGAUUGCACCUACGUGGAAAUUAUUAGAAUUACAUUUUAAUUGGUUAAAUAUAUUAUUCACUGGAUUACCUUUUCCACUUGGCGGUAAUUUAGCAUUGCAAAAUGCAGUAGGCCAAUGAAACCUUAUCAAUAAACUCAAGUAGUUUGCCUUGUAAGCAGUAGGCAAACUGUUUAUUUUCAACUUUCUUGUCGUGGUUAUAUGUAACCCGUGGGUGUCCUGUUGAAUUGACCUCUUAAGCCUUUUGUUGCAGACCUGAAACAGAGGAGGAAAAGAUAUUGAAGGAAGAAAUAGAUCAUCUAAAGAAGGAACUCGAGAAAGAAUCUACGGAUAAAGUGAACAGUGAAACUGUGCAAGAGUCUGGUGGUGACCGGCCAAGUCUACGCGAUAUAAUACUACAGAAGGAAAGGGAAUUGGAGGCAUUGAUCCGAGAAUUUGAUGACAAAGUUCGCUUUGGGCAGAAGGCCAUCGAUAGGCCAGGGUCUGGGGCUGGUAGGCCUGGUUCUGGGGCAGGAAGGCCUGGGUCUUCAGCAGGGAGGGCUGGUAACUUUCAUGAGAGGACGCCGUCUUAUUCCGGGUCAUUUGAAGAUUCUAGAAGUGUGGAAUACGUAGAUAGGUCUCCCUUGCAAGGCAAGGGAGAUCCGUGGGCAAGGCCUUUUGAUGACAGAAGGUCAUUCCAUGGUGGCAGGGAAAGAGGAGGAUUUCUGGGGAGCAGAGACAUGGGCAGGUGAGAAUAAUGUGCUUCUGUGCUUUCCUGUUACAGUCUUAUGGAGGAAGUUAACCUGUUUAAGAAGUAACUUGAUCUGUUAUGCUUUUAGGAAAGAAAUUUUUUCAAUAUGCUAUUUAGUAGCCUGAUCCCGGAACUCUCAAAGAAUGCAUUGGGAAAAAAGUUGAUAAAUAGUUGUAAGAAAAAGUUUAAAAUUGGAUCAGAAACUUUCAAAGAAUGACCAUUUGAUUAUUAAAGAAUUGGGACAUCUCAAAAUAGCAUUUUAAAUGACUUAACAAUCCAUUCUCGACGAUUUACGCCUGUGUAGUCAGCAUAAUAUGUACUUUCAGAGCUAAAUGUUUGUCUAUGAAUCUAUGAAUGCCACAAAAUGCAUAUGACGUUUGGUGGUUGUUUAUUUGGCAGGGCAAGGUCAAGAGAAAGAUGGUGAACAACUGCGCCGUUUCUAUGGAUUCGUUGAAUUGCGCUUCUGACAAACAGGACCAAAUAAUAUUUUGCCUCACUCUUUUUGUUUUCUUCAUUUUGCUCUGGGAAAUGGAGCAAGCAUUAUUGAUUACCGGCACUUGGAAAACUCUUGCGUUGAAGAUCUACUGUUACAUCGUGACACUAUGUAAAAUUGCAGUUUUCCGUUUUCUUUGUUGUCUGUUUUUUUUUUUAUGUGAAGGAGCCUGUAUUGUUCUUAGGUUCCAAUUUUACUGAACACUACGGGACUCGCUAGUCUAUUUUUGUGACAAUCGUCUGGGAAUUAUACUGAUAUUUUGGUUCUUUUGUGCAUGACCUCGUUGCGGAACUCAAUUUUCUCAAUUUUUGUUGCGCGAUUGCUUGACUCUCUGAAUCCUACGGGAUAAACCAUCGAUCCAAAUUCCAUCCCAAGUUUCUCAUUGACUUUGGUUCUACCAAAAGGUGGUGGAGAGGGCCAUGGGGAGUGAAGAGUGGAGGCAGUGGCAAUUGGAGUGGUUGCCAAGUCCCAUCAAGGUUUUAACUUUGGCGAUUCUAAUUCCAACACGGAUGAUUUAUCAGCUACAUUUUUCAACUUCCUUCUCCCUACCGCAAUACAUUCUUUGGUAAGCCUUGAAGUCUUAUGGUCUCCGAUAUGGCUACGUUCAUUUCAUCAAUGGCUAGUGCUUCGGGCGUAACCUGUAAUUUCUUUGCGUAGAAAAUGGUUAACCAUGAAAACAGCUACAAUGUUGCAUCUUCGCAUGAACUUGUAAAUGUUCUUAAAGAGAUUACAAUCUUGAACAAAAUAGUGAUAUUGGUAGUCUUGCAGCAACUCUACCAACAAGGAGCAAGAGUUCAUUGGAUUCACAACACAGGUCCCCACGGCGGUCGGAGGAAAGCGAUUGUUAACGGCACUGAAGUUGAGAUGGGGUGGGGUGCACUAUUCCGAUGCUGCAAACAACUUGAUAGCCAACCAAAUUAUGGGCGGCUCUUUCUCCGACUCUCCAGUCUCAAUCGCUGAAGCAUGUCGCAAUCCUCCACGUUCUGAUUCAACUUCAAGCGGAUAACUUGUUCUAUAAGUUUGGUACGGCUUUAAUAUUGUACUUAAUCAUUGAAGUGAGAGUGUUUAAAUUAAGGAUCCAACCUUGUUUUGUUCUUGAAUAAAUUUAAACAACCGAUGUGGACACCCCUAACAAAUGAAAUCCAAUAAUAUUUGUGAUGAUAUCACAAUGCAUCUUUUAUUUCAUAAUAUUUGUUUCCAGAUUAUGCUACUUGCCUGCCCGUUGACCUUCAAAUCUAUAAGGCUAUUCUAUCGAUUUCACGAAGUACGAAGUUCUUAUGGACCGUGCGAGGUUUAUUUCUAUCGGCAGGUGGUGGAGAGGACCAUGGGGACUGAAGAAGAGUGUGGAAGCAGUGGCAGUUGGAGUUGUUUUAGUUGCUGCUCUUUCAACUUCCUUCGGCCUUGUACCACAGAAGAAAUCGCGCAGUGCUUGUCAAUUCCCGGCAAUGUAUAACUUUGGGGAUUCAAAUUCGGACACUGGUAGUUUCUCAGCGACAUUUUAUCGGCUUCCUUCUCCCUAUGGCUAUACCUUCUUUGGUAAACCUUCUGGCAGGUUCUCAGACGGGCGUAUCAUCAUCGAUUUUAUAGGUUAGAGCAUCAACUGUUGUCAUUACAUUGUCUUCAAAUUUAAGGCUACCUAUAGACUUUUAUUUGCCUUUCUUUUGCAGCUCAAAAGUUGGGGUUUCCAUUUUUAAGUGCUUAUCUGAAUUCUAUUGGAGCAAACUUCCGUUGUGGAGCGAAUUUCGCGAUUGUAGCAUCUACGAUUCAGCCACUAGAUGUCAGGACGUUUGGAGAUGGAUAUAGCCCCAUCUCUCUUAACGUACAGCUUUCGCAAUUUGCGCAGUUCAAAGCACGUGUAAAUGAGUUUUUCCCUCGAGGUAAGGAUAGACGUUUGCUGAAGACGUUUUACUGGAAUAAUAUUUGUUCAUUAUGCUGCUGUUGCACUGAAUGACGGAUUGGUCUUCAGAUGAAAGGUCAUACGUCAAGGCCGGCCUCCCAAGAGCAGAGGACUUCUCCAAGGCCUUGUACACUUUAGACAUUGGACAAAACGAUCUUAGUGCCGGGUUAAGCUGGAAGACGGCAGACCAGCUGCUGGAAAACGUUUCCAGCAUAACAGCGCAGUUAGCCUUGACAAUCGAGGUAACCAGUUUAGAUCUUCUUAUUCAUUUCAUGAACCACUAUUGUCGGGUUAACUUUAUUAACACGAAGUCAGAAACAAUCUGUCCAGAAUUUUUUUCCGUCAUAGUUGUCACAUGAAAUGCCUAAAAUCCCGAUGGCUCGAUAAACAGAUUGUUUAAUAUGUGCAGCAACUCUACCAACAAGGGGCAAGAGUUUUUUGGAUUCACAACACAGGUCCGCUCGGGUGCUUGCCUUCAACUCUGGCGUAUAAGAUGGCAGAACCCGGCGACCUGGAUCAAAACGGUUGCUUGAAGCGGUACAAUGAAGUGUGUCAAGAAUUUAACAGGCAGCUCAAGGAGAGAGUGCUUAAACUAAGAGCCAAACUUUCAGAAGCAGUUUUUACUUACAUCGAUGUCUAUGCAGCAAAAUACACACUAAUCAGUGAAGCGGAGAAGUAUGGUAAGUCUUUUCCCUCUUCAUGCAUUUAGCUAGGGUUUCUAUACUUCAUUUCUUCGGUGUAUCCAAAACUCUAAACCCUUUUUUCUCCGUUGUGUGGAAUGCGCAGGUUUUACGAGUCCUCUAGCUCAAUGCUGUGGAAGCUACGGAUGUCCCUGUCCGUUGUGGGGUGAAAGCUAUUGUUAAUGGCACUGAAGUUGGAGGUCCUUGUAGCAAUCCUUCUCAGCACAUUAACUGGGAUGGAGGACACUAUUCUGAUGCUGCGAACGAGUGGCUAGCCACCCGCAUUAUGGACGGCGCAUUCUCUGAUCCUCCGGUUUCAAUCACUGAAGCAUGUCACAAAACUCCACGGUUUUGAUUCAACUUCAAGUAUCCCAGUUGGGGUUGUAGCAUUGCUUCGAGCAUGUCAAAGAAUACUCAACAGAAAAAAGAAACAAACAAAAAGAAUCUCUAUCAAAUUUGAAGCAAUGACGAUAACACAUUUUCGGGGUUUAUUUUGUAGCAUGAACGCUGAUCGGAAUUUAAGGUCACCUUUAAAGAUCACCUCUGUAAAAAACAAGCAGAAAUAUCGUUCAAUUGACGUUGAUAAUAGUUUCUUGUAUUUAACUGAACAGAUCUGGGUACCUGAAAGAGGGAAAGGGCGAAAAAAAAUUGGAACUGUAAAAUAGAGAAAAAGGACGACUUCACUGGGGAUCGAACCCAGAAUCUCUGGUUUCGUAGACCAGCGCCUUAUCCAUUGGGCCAUGAAGUCCGGAUGUUGAUGUGUCUAGGAUUUAAUUAAUUUAACUAUAAAAGGGCCAAAAGUUGGAAGCAAACGAUUUAAGGGGCAUUAAGACAAUCAUUUUUAGGAUUCCUAAGAGUUAAUUUAUCCUUUAUGGGAUUUAAUGAUUCGAAAGAGAGAAUUCAUUCUUUUACAGUCAUUUGAUUUGGUAAUAGUAAUAAAGAUACUAACGAAUGGAAAGAAAUGAAUGGUUUGGAUCUGUACCAACGGCCAAUUUCCGUUAGAAUAGAAGGUUCCAUGGGAACAAUUAUUUUUUUCUAUUUUCAAGGUACUUCAUCUCAUUUUUUUUUUAUAAAAAAAAAAAGAGAAGAAAAAGAAGUGUGGGGAGAAAUGACAAGAAGAUAUUGGAACAUCAAUUUUGGAAGAGAUGAUGGAAGCAGGAGUUCAUUUUGGUCAUGGUACUUGGAAACGAAAUCCUAGAAUGACACCUUAUAUCUCUACAAAGCGUAAAGGCAUUCAUAUUAUAAAUCUUACUAGAACUGCUCGGUUUUUAGCAGAAGCUUGUGAUUUAGUUUUUGACGCAGCAAGUAGGGGAAAACAAUUUGUUUGUACCAUACUUGACCAAUCCCGAAACUACCGAGCACCGGCCAACGCUAUACUGUCAAGGACCCAGAAGAGUUCCCCUCCGACGCCGAGGCCAAUCACUACUCGACACGUGUCAGAGAUUAGAAGCCAAUCAGAGCGCAGCACGUGUCGACAUCAAGAACCAAUCACAACAUGACACAUGUCAAUGUGACAAAGCUACAAGUUUUUCUAUAAAUAGGGGUCAUUCCCCCACAAUAUUGCCUAAUGCCAUUUGUGUUAAAUCAUUCACAAGAACUCACUAAAUUGAGAGCUUGAUCCUUUGUACUUGUGUAAGCCCUUCACUACUAAUAAGAACUCCCUCUACUCCGUGGACGUAGCCAAUCUGGGUGAACCACGUACAUCCUGUGUUUGCUUCUCUGUCUCUAUUCAUUUUACGUAUUUAUCCUCACUAGUGACCGAAGCAACCAAGCGAAGGUCACAAAACCUGACACUUCUGUUUUGUACCAAAGUCUUCGCUGAUUUUGUGCAUCAACAUUUGGUGCCGUCUGUGGGAACGACACUUAUUCCUACUCUCUUCAGCUGUGUGUCAAGCUGGUUUUCUAUCAUUCGUACACUUUCUUUUGACCAUGCAUCCCUCUCCAACAAUGGGAAGCGAAGGAAGCCACAGCACACAGAAUGACACCCCCCUUGCACAUAGUGCGAAGCAACGAAAGAAGGAAGGAAAACGAGUUCUUCUUCAAGCUAAAGUCGAUGAGUUGGAAGCUCAGAAACAACAAAGAUAGCAAUGAGGAAUGAGGUUCUCCAGGAGCAAUAUGAGAAGCUCUUCGAGACACUCCACGAAGCUAGGCAAAGCUCAGACACGCGAGCUUGUUGCCCCCGUGGAAGUCAACCAUCAACUAGGUGCCCUCCAACAUGGAGGGUCACAUGCAUUCGACACAUAGAUAUCCCUGAUAUAGGGAACAGAUUACCCCUCGACUUGAUAAUCAACAUGAGGCUUCUCUUAACCCAGUUGCUUCGACCCGAACCAUGAGAAGUGGAGGGAGACACCUCUUUGCUGAAGGGCAGAAGGAUCGAAAGCCGUCUUUCGCGAUUGUCGGGAUUUCCUGAAGCAACGUCGAGAGAAUUCCAUCCAUAUAAGCUCAAAGAUCAAUGACCCAAGGAUUUCUGAGAGACUCGGUCCCCUGCCACGGCCCGAGCCGGCCACCAAUUUGGGGAAGGGGCAACAAGUCCUAAGAGAGACAUGAGGGUACAGGGGACUCAGAGGUGUGUUCCGACAGACAUACCCUGGAAGCCAGUACAGCGAGUCCAGGGAAAAUCAUACAUGCCCUUGAUCAAAACCUUCCUAAUUCCAAGAGGAGAUGGAGAUUUACGAAAGAAAGCUCCAGUGGCACAUAACUCCGCUCAGGACCCCCUUGUCCUACAACUUCUUGAGGAAGUAAACAAGUUGAAGGCUGAACGUCAGGCUGAAAUACCUGACUGGAACCAACCUAGGCAUGGCCCUCUUACAAGGAGGAUCCUCAACACCCCCCUUCAAGCAAAGACAAAGCAAAAGCUUGGCUUGCAACUUUAUACUGGAAGAGAGGACCCGAUUGAGCACCUUAACCUCUUUGAAUCCACCAUGGCAUACCGGAUGCACACCGACGAAGAGCGAUGUCUUCUCUUCCCCUCUACCCUCUCUAGUGGAGCUCUAAAUUGGUAUUGUCGUCUUACACCUGAGACGGUAGACUCAUUUGAGGAAUUGAGGAAACUAUUUAUUUCCCAACACAUUUUCCAAACCGAUCGCUUGCACUCUGCAGAUGACUUGUACACUAUCCGCCAGAAGCCAGACGAGUCAUUACGUAUGUAUGUUGGCCGCUUCAGCCAUGAAUACUCCCGGUGUGCCGAGGCAGACGACAAAGACUGCCCUCAAAGCCUUCACGGCAGGCCUACGUGAUUGUUUCUUUAAAUACAUGAUCAAUGCCAAUACUUGGAAGACUUACUCUGAGGUGAUGGCGCAGGCUUAUAACCAUGCCUCCGCCGAGGCAAAGACAUAUCAGGAGAAACCCCCUACAACCAUCAUUUAUCAACAAGUGGGAGGUGGAAGCCAGACUCACCUAAAUGAGAAGACCUCGACUUUCCAAACAGCAGUGGCACCUCCCCAUGCCUUGCAUAAUGCUUCACCGAAUCAACAGACAUAUCAAUUUCAAGGCAAGAGGAAGGAUUUCCAUCCUCACCACUCUCCUUUCAGUAAAAAGAGUAAGGGACACUAUCCCGAUAACCAAGGGUAUCGCCACAAUAGCGCUCGCCCCCAGGCAGUCAAUGCAGUGGGUCAAACCCGCGUCAAGGGUAUCGCCACAAUAGCGAGGUUUUAGCCUGCCAUACUUAACGUGUCUUACGCCUGCCGAGGCGGAAAUCGUCCUUCGGGAAAUACAUGAGGGAGUCUGUGAGAAUCAUGCUGGAUCUCUCGGUCCCUAGCACACAAGACUUUUCGCCAAGGAUAUUACUGGCCAACACUCCACCAGGAUGCCAUCAAAGUAUCCCGCUCAUGUGACAAAUGUCAACGAUAUGCAACUAUUCCUCAUCCCCUCCAGAGCCUCUUACUCCUAUGAUCAGCCAUUGGCCCUUCGCCCAGUGGGGACUUGAUUUGAUCGGCCCAAUGCCGGCAGGGAAGGGCAAAGUCUGUUACGCAGUCGUUGCAGUGGACUACUUCACAAAGUGGGCCGAAGUAGAACCCUUGGCAACCAUUACUGAGGCAAAGAUAGAAGACUUCGUGUGGAAGAACAUCCUUUGUAGAUUCGGCAUUCCCAAUGCGAUAGUCACUGACAAUGGGCGACAGUUUGACAACAAGAAGUUCAGGUUGUUCUGCUCUAAGUUCAACAUCAACUUAUGUUUUGCCUCUCCAGCUCAUCCCCAGUCUAAUGGACAAGUUGAGGCCAUCAACAAAAUAAUCAAGCGCACUUUGAAAACCAGCUUGGACAAAGCUAAAGGCUGUUGGCCAGAAUUUGUACCCCAAGUUCUUUGGUCAUAUCGCACUUCAUAUCGGACUUCAACAGGAGAAACUCCAUUCUCACUUGCCUUUGGCACAGAGGCGGUUGUCCCUGUUGAGCUCGAGCAAGCAACAUUCCGAGUCCAGAACUACAUUCAAAGUGAAAAUGACAAACAACUCACCCUCAACUUGGAUUUAGUCGAGGAACACAGAAACCAAGCUCACUUGAGGAAUGUCGCCUACAAGCAGCGCAUCUCCAACUAUUAUGACUCUAGGGUCAAGCCUCGUUCUUUCAAAAUAGGAGACUGGGUCUUAAAGAAAAGAUUACUCUGCGACAGAGUCCCGAGUGAAGGCACACUUAGUCCAAACUGGGAUGGACCGUAUGAAGUCAUUGACAUCAGUCGCCCUGGCUCUUACACACUUAGAAGCUCUGAUGGCAAGACCCUUGGCCAUCCAUCCAUGGAACGCUGAUCACUUGAAAGUACUACUACAAAUAGACUCACGAUGUACAAGUGUUGAGCUAUAGCCGUUCGGCAUCCUAUGUAAUGAAGGCCAUUUGGCAAUGAAUUCAAUAAAGAGGUAAUUUAGCCAACUCAGCCCUCACUCUUUUACAUUCAUAGCAAGCGAUGCCAGAACCCUUCUCAAUCAGAAAGCAAUCCGUCUUCCACAGUCACUCACUACAAAACAAGCAAAUGAAGACCGUGUCAAGCGCCAAAAAAAAAAAAAAAAAAAAAAAAAAAAAAAAAAGCUUCAUCCAAAAAGCUUCACCCGAAAAGCUUCACCUCCAAAGCUUCACCCGAAAAGCUUCACCUCCAAAGCUUCACCCACAAAGCUUCACCUAAAAAGCUUCACCCAAAAAGCUUCACCCGAAAAGCUUCACCUCCAAAGCUUCACCCACAAAGCUUCACCUAAAAAGCUUCACCCACAAAGCUUCACCUAAAAAGCUUCACCCAACAAGCUUCACCCGAAAAGCUUCACCUCCAAAGCUUCACCCACAAAGCUUCACCUAAAAAGCUUCACCCACAAAGCUUCACCCAAAAAAAAAAGCUUCACCUACAAAGCUUCACCUAAAAAAUCUUCACCUAGAAAGCUCCCUCUACAUACUUUCACCAUCAAAGCUUCACCAUCAAAGCUUCACCUAGAAAGCUUCAUCUACAAAGCUUCACCAUCAAAGCUUCACCUAGAAAGCUUCAACACCAAAGCUUCACCUACAAAGCUUCAACACAAAACCUUGCUCCAAAUAAACAAAUUUUGUUCACAAAACCCAAGAUGCCCUUGAACUUGUACAAAAACACUUGGGUAAACACAUUUUUUGUUUUACACCCACAAGGGCCCAAAAUUUUCCUUCUUAUUUAUUCACUUAUAUAUGUUCCCAAACAUAUUAUAAUAGAUCCAACAACAAGCCAAAGUCCCAAGUUUCAUAAUGGACAAAAGUACAAGCAAUUCAUCAAUAAUGAAGGUGCUACAAAAAUUGGAAUCUGCCCCAAAAUAGAAAUCCAACCCAAGAGACUUUUUUCUCUCUCUCCCUCUUCCGCCUCCUUUCAUCUAUCAAAUUUCUGCAACCUCUGCUCUUCUCCAAUGGAGCUGAAUUUUGGACACCCUAUAGUUCUUGAGCAUAUAUGAACAACUUUCAAGAAGGAACCAUUUCUGUUUGAGCGACGGAAAUUAAAGUGUUGAAGCUCCAAACAUGAUAGUCGGCUUCUUGCAGAUUUCGAAGCUGUUGUGAUGUUUCGAAGAUCUGGAAAUAUUUAACCGUUAGUUCAUCCUGAAUUUUUGAUAUGUUAUGAAAGAGUCGAUGAGGAACAACUUCAAUGAAGAAAGCAUACCGAUCUGAACAAGAGAAAAUGGAGUUUCGAAGCUCAUAACAAAUCUGACGGGUUGACAGAAAAAUAAUAAACAGUCACUCAUCAUACCUGGAUUUCUGGAGUUAUACUGCUCCGAGGGACCUCAAAUUUGGAUAUGUUGUAGUUAACAAGUUAGGGAAUAACUUCGAUGAAGAAAGUAUACCGAUCUGAACAAGAGAAAAUGGAGUUUCGAAGCUCACAACAAAUCUGACGGGUUGACAGAAAAAUAAUAACCAGUCAUUCAUCAUACCUGGAUUUCUGGAGUUAUACUGCUCCGAGGGAUCUCAAAUUUGGAUAUGUUGUAGUUCACAAGCUGAGGAACAACUUCAAUGAAGAAAGCAUGCUGAUCUGAGCAAGAGAAAAUAGAGUUUCAAAGCUCACAACAAAUCUGACGGAUUAACAGAACAUUGAUGAACAGUUACUCAUCAUACUUGAAUUUCUGAAGUUGUACUACUCCGAUGGAUCUCAAAUUUGGAUAUGUUGUAGUUCACAAGAUAAGGAAAAACUUUCAUGAAGACGACUUUUGCAAUCUGAGCUAUAGAGAAAGGUGUUAUCUUGCAUCCACUCAGGCUGAUUAGUGGAAACGAAAAGCAAUUCCACCAAAGAAAAGAUGAAAAAGAGAGAAAAGCUACUAAUUGCACUUGAUCUUGUCUAGUCAAUAGCAUGCAGCAUCAAACACACAAAAGUUGGAAAUAUUUUUAGAUAAAGCAUAUACGAAUGUGUGACAUCGAAACAAGAAUUCGUUACUUUGACAAAUUAGUAACACGCGAGACACCUCAUUCGGCAACUCUCUUCGCCUGAAGACUUGGGGGACUCCCACCAUAUGCUACUGCACCUUGAUACUCGGCAGUCUCACAACCACUCAGUGACUUGGAUUUUUCAAGUCUCCAACCGAGAAGUUUUCCUCACUCGGGAAAUUAAGGGAACACUACCUCAAACUACAUGCUUCACUCACAAAGCUUCAACAAUACAGGUUUCAACAAAAGCAAAAAUUCAAAGAACUUUAUGAAGAAGGCUUUGGUGUAUUUAACACAAUAUGUUGAAAUGAAGCAAAGCUUAUUUAUUAAUAUUUUCGAUAAGCCAGCCACAAAUAUGUACAUAUACAUAAGUCAAAAUAAACAAACAAAAGGGAGCCUUCACAAAGGUUGCUUAGGGGAAGUCUCAGCAGUCGGUAGAGCCCCAGAAAGAGAAAGCACCGGAGGGUGGUUAUCCGGAGCCUCAGUACUUGACAAAACCCCAGAAGGAGGAGGCAUUGGAGGUUCAUCAUUUGAAGCUUCAUUACCAGGUACAGCCCCAGAGGACGAAGGCAAUAAAUGCCUUUGGAACAAACCCACAAACAGCUGAUGAUCAAGUAAAACCUUACCAUCAGAUUCCUUCAUCUGGUCAAGCUUCCUCUUCAUGUUUGUAGCAUAGUCAUGUCAUGGCGAGCCCCGUGCAACUACUUAUUCUCAUGCUUGAGCCCUCUAAUCUCCUGUUUGAGACUCAUCACUUCAGCAGCCAAUGAUUCAACUUGGCGGGUUCUAGCAAAUAGGCGUUGGGCCAUAUUAGACACAGAACCUGCACACUGAACACUAAGAGCCAGAGAGUCCUUAACAGCCAACUCAUCAGACCGUUUGGAAAGUAGUCUGUUAUCUUUGGGAGUGAGAAGGUUCCUGGCCACCACUGCAGCGGUCAUAUCAUUCUUCAUCACAGAAUCCCCAACGGUAAGAGGACCAGUAGGGGAUAUGAAGGAUGGGCGCCAUAUGUUGUCUGGAGAAGGCGUGUGUUGUCUGUCUCUUCUCCAAGGUUCAAGUCAAAACGACGGUCGGAGGGUCCAGACAUUUUCAAAUGUGUUGAAGAAGGAAGAGGUCAGACAAAUCAAGAUCUUAGAAGUGCAAGAAAUGAGCUUCUACUGGUAGAGAUUCAAGUGUGCUGUGGAACUUAAUGCCAGCCUCUAUAAAAAUCUGCACUCGACGGAGCUUCAGAAAUCGAAGAGACGUUUGCUUUCUCAAAAGCUGGGCUGCUCAGAGACCACGAGGGCCGAUCUCAGAAAUCGAAGAGGCGUUUGCUUUCUCAAAAGCUGGGCUGCUCAGAGACCACGAGGGCCGAUCUCAGAAAUCGAAGAGGCGUUUGCUUUCUCAAAAGCUGGGCUGCUCAGAGACCACGAGGGCCGAUCUCAGAAAUCGAAGAAGCACCUGCUUUUUCAGCCUCGUCAGCACCUGUCACAUGCACACUCAGCUUUGCGGAAAUUACGGGCAAUCUGUCGAAGAUUUCUGGUGAAGUAGAAAGCACGUGAAUCUUAUUGUUCAAUCACCGCUCUCCAUAUGCACCAUCAACUCCUCGGGUACCACAUAUAACUUUGUCAAAGAUCUCUGACAAAGUUUAGGCACGAGAAUUUCGAAGUUCCAGCUACCCUACUAUUACCCAUAAGGGUAAAGGAACAGCACCACUGCUUGACAACUGGAAAGUCCCUAUGUGUGUCGACCUCUGGGUUUUGCGGCAAGACAGAUUGGCAAGAACGUCCAACCUUUACUCACAUUCGAGAAAAGACUCCCAACAUAAUUACUUUCUCAAAAACCGGAGUAGCACCGCUUUCCGAAUCUUGAGAGUCAGAUCCUCGACGGGAUUGCUUGUUCGAAAACCGAAGAGGCACAACUCUCAGAACUUCGAGAGCCAGAUUUCCUUAGAUAAAGCUUGUCUGUAAUCUUCACACGUAACAUCAGCUUUCCAGAUACCACAUACCACUUUUUCAAAGUGCUCUGACAAAAUUAAAACACGUGAAGCUGGCAGCUCCCACUACAUUGCUGUGACCAAGAAGGGUAAAGGAAUAGCAUUACUACUUGUUAUUGGGAAAUCCCUAUAUACAUUGACCUCCCUCCUCAACGGACAGGCAAACCUGCAAAAAUGCUCAACCCUUUCUCGCAUUCGAAAAGGCACCCUCAACAUAACCUCUCGAAAUACUCAGCUUUAUUUCCCCCCGAUAAUACCUCAGCAAAUAAGCCACACCAAGAACAAGAGUAUCUCAUAUCAUCAGGGUCGAAAGCAAGAGUAUCCCAUAUCAUGCUUUCUCCCUAUCUUUGUCUUUGUCCUUGUCCACACCUGCAGGACAAGGAGAAAGAGAGCAGUCAGUCGGAACCUGAAAUCAAACCUCCAAUUUGGAACUGACUGCCUGGAGCCUUUGCCUGGUUGCUUACUUAGCAUUGCUCUCGAGUCAUACCUCAACUGCUGUCAAGGUCACGAAUUCCACCGGAAAAUACCUCAUGACAGUUGAUCAGAUAUUGGCUCUUUACACUGAAGCUGCCAAGCGUGGAUGAGUCACUAUGAAGGAAUGUUCUGAAGGACCAUUUAAAUGCAAAGGUUGCACACCACUUCUGCCAUGCAAAAGAUUGAAGCAGAAGGUUCAACGGUGGGCUGAAACAGAUCACUACAGCACGACACAUUUCCAUACCACAUUCAUUAUUCCGUCAACAGCAAAAGUAUCCCAUAUCAUCAAGGUUGAACGUACUCUAGAUUUGAUGGACUUGUUUUGACCCUCAAAUUUUUGAGUCGGCCUUAUACUCUGAAGGGCACCAGAAAACCCUCCAGCACAGUUCAAGAAUAAGCCUGUGGAAAGUUACUUCUUCAAAAGCAAAAGUAUCUCAUAUCAUCUCUUAUCCAUUUGCUUCUCCUUAUCCUGACAGUUGAAUGAGAGACAAGGAGAAGAAGAACAAUCAACCGGAAGCCGAAAGUCAAAUCUCUGAUCCUGGGUUGCUUACUUGGAAGUUUGACUGCUUACCUUGUCUGUCACCUCUUUCGGCAGAUCUCCUAGCUCGGCGACUUGGGGGACUCCUACUAUAGGGUUUGUAUCACACUUGACUAAGCCCGAAACUACAACUAAGCUUCAAGUGAAAUUGAUACAUUACCUUGUGCGUCAACAUCAGCUAAAUACACCAUUCCCGGAUGGAGGAAAGGUACUUCCAGAGAAGGGCAGAUGAAGAUCAGACCCACACUUCGGUACUUAGAAGUUUCGUGAUUACUCAAGGGAUUGGAUCUUGCAAGUCCCCAACCGAGGAGUUUCCCUCACUCGGGAACUUAGGGGAGCACUGUUUGUACCAUACUUGACCAAUCCCGAAACUACCGAGCACCGGCCAACGCUAUACUGUCAAGGACCCAGAAGAGUUCCCCUCCGACCGGGAGGCCAAUCACUACUCGACACGUGUCAAGAUUAGAAGCCAAUCAGAGCGCAGCACGUGUCGACAUCAAGAACCAAUCACAACAUGACACAUGUCAAUGUGACAAAGCUACAAGUUUUUCUAUAAAUAGGGGUCAUUCCCCCACAAUAUUGCCUAAUGCCAUUUGUGUUAAAUCAUUCACAAGAACUCACUAAAUUGAGAGCUUGAUCCUUUGUACUUGUGUAAGCCCUUCACUACUAAUAAGAACUCCUCUACUCCGUGGACGUAGCCAAUCUGGGUGAACCACGUACAUCCUGUGUUUGCUUAUCUGUCUCUAUUCAUUUACGUACUUAUCCUCACUAGUGACCGAAGCAACCAAGCGAAGGUCACAAAACCUGACACUUUCUGUUGUACCAAAGUCUUCGCUGAUUUUGUGCAUCAACACAAUUCUUAAUUGUUGGUACCAAAAAAUAAAGCAGCUGAUUUAGUAGCACGGGCUGCAAUAAAGGCUCGGUGUCAUUAUGUUAAUAAAAAAUGGCUCAGUGGUAUGCUAACGAAUUGGUAUACUACAAAAACGAGACUUCAUAAGUUCAAGGACUUGAGAAUAGAACAAAAGACGGGGGAGACUCAACCGUCUUCCGAAAAGGGAUGCGGCUGUGUUGAAGAGACAAUCAUUUCACUUGCAAACAUAUAUCGGCGGAAUUAAAUAUAUGAUGGGGUUACCCGAUAUUGUAAUAAUCGUUGAUCAACAAGAAGAAUAUACGGCUCUUCGAGAAUGUAUCACUUUGGAAUUCCAACGAUUUGUUUAAUUGAUACAAAUUGUGACCCGGAUCUCAUAGAUAUUUCGAUUCCAACGAAUGAUGACGCUAAAGCUUCAAUCCGAUUAAUUCUUAACAAAUUAGUAUUUGCAAUUUGUGAGGGUCGUUCUAGCUAUAUACGAAAUUCUUGAUUAAAAAUAAGAUAAGUAAAUUUUUGGGGGAACUCCAUAGAAUAGAUUUAUUGCAUCGGUUAUUAUUCUUGAAUAGUACAAAAGAGAUAAAAAUAACUGUGGGGAUAUUAUGUGAUUAGUUGAUAUUCAAAAACAUACAAUUCAAAUAGGCAAGUCAAAAAACGAUGGUUGAAUCAAAAUAAUUCCUUUAAAAGUUUUAUUUAUUUCAAAGGGUAAUAUGAAUGUUCUAUUAUGUUCGAUCAAAACACUAAAAGGGUUGUACGAUAUAUCCGGUGUGGAGGUAGGCCAACAUUUCUAUUGGCAAAUAGGAAGUUUCCAAGUCCAUGCCUAAGUACUUAUUACUUAUUGGGUCGUAAUUGCUAUUUUAUUAGGGUCAGCCAUUAUAGCCGUUUGUAAUCCACAAACCAUUCCUACUGACGGUCAUAAUUUCUUUGAAUAUGUCCUUGAAUUCAUUCGGGACGUGAGCAAAACUCAUAUUGGAGAAAAAUAUGGUCCAUGGGUUCCCUUUAUUGGAACUAUGUUUCUAUUUAUUUUUGUUUCGAAUUGGUCAAGGGCUCUUUUACCUUGGAAAAUCAUACAGUUACCUCAUAGGGAGUUAGCUGCACUCACAAAUGAUAUAAAUACUAUGGUUGCUUUAGCUUUGCUCACUUCAGUAGCAUAUUUCUAUGCUAGCCUUACAAAAAAAGGAUUAUGUUAUUUCGGUAAAUACAUUCAACCAACUCCAAUCCUUUUACCCAUUAACAUCUUAGAAGAUUUCACAAAACCCUUAUCACUUAGUUUUUGACUUUUCGAAAAUAUUUUAGCUGAUGAAUUAGUAGUGGUUGUUCUUGUUUCUUUAGUACCUUCAUUAGUUCCUAUACCUAUCAUGUUCCUUGGAUUAUUUACAAGCGGUAUUCAAGCUCUUAUUUUGCAACCUUAGUUGUGGCUUAUAUAGGCGAAUCCAUGCAGGGUCAUCAUUGACUAGUUACAUAGUCUUAGCCUGAUGCAAUGUAUGCGCGACUCAAGGUAAUCCACUUAUGGAAAAUAUUUAAGGUAUAAAUAAAGGUAUAUACAAUCUAUCUAUAGUAAAAAAGAUUACGAUACGAUAUUAGGGAAUUGAGAAAAAAAAAAGGGAAAAAGAGCUAAAAGAUCAUUUUCCUAAAAUUGUUUUUUGGCCCAUUUAUACUCUCUCCAAUGAAUAUUCUCUUUAUAGUGUUUUGUUUAUUCAGUUCCAAUAUCCAAUAUAAAGUAUUAGGAGAUAUAUUAAAUAUUAGGAGUCAUACUCCUCCCAAUAAGAAUUUUUACUGUAUCUGUUUACGACAUGCGAUUUUUAUGGUAUAAGAAAAUAAUUCUCAUUUCAGUCGAUUUUAUUCCUUUUUUUUUUUUGGUCAAUCGGUAAAUUGAAUAAAUACUAAAUUACAUGAAUUUAGAUCAAUCAAAUACUGAUAUUUCUAUGUAAUGAUUUGGGCUAACAAAUUCUUCCAUUUAAAUUGAUUGUACCUAUCCUUGUGGGAUAAUAAAAAUGGAAUGGAAGAUUAAGGAUUUACAAAAAACGAGAUUUAUAAAAAAAAAAGAAAGAUUGGUUAGCGGAAGAAAAAUAAGAGGGGGGGGGGUUGAAACUAGGUGUAUGUAAUCUAAUCGCUAUAAGACAACUCUUGUCCAUGUUUCGAAGAAUGGAUUCUUGAAUCCCAUUGAAUCUAAGAUACAAUAUUUGGUUUACAGUAUGGGGGAAAGGCAUGUAUAUGUGAUAUUAGAUAUUAACUAGGUAUAUAUGAACGAAAGAUAUAUCUAAUUUGUCCUAAUUUAGAUAGGGAUUCCAAUGGAAGUCCUUCCGUUUCGUCUGUAAUUGUGAAUUGAAUAUUGAAUGAAUUUAAAUCAUGAAAAAGAACAAAGAAUGGUUCGAAAAAAAGAAUGAAAUGUAAAGGAAAGAACAAAAGUCAUACAGAUUCACAAAAACU
This 42569-nucleotide long non-coding RNA is filed under the name Malus domestica (apple). Its description in RNAcentral is "long non-coding RNA (MDOM_LNC016108)". The record is from RNAcentral. Lineage: Eukaryota; Viridiplantae; Streptophyta; Magnoliopsida; Rosales; Rosaceae.